AUGACUUGGGGGCGUCUCCUGUCUAGCUACUUGACUUUGUGUCUCCAGUCUAGCUACAUGACUUGGCGGCAUCUCCUGUCUAGCUACAUGACUUGGUGUCUCCAGUCUAGCUACAUGACUUGGUGGUGUCUCCUGUCUAGCUACAUGACUUGGUGUCUCCUGUCUAGCUACUUGACUUUGUGUCUCCUGUCUAGCUACAUGACUUGGCGGCGUCUCCUGUCUAGCUACAUGACUUGGCGGCAUCUCCUGUCUAGCUACAUGACUUGGUGUCUCCAGUCUAGCUACAUGACUUGGUGGUGUCUCCUGUCUAGCUACAUGACUUGGUGUCUCCUGUCUAGCUACAUGACUUGGUGUCUCCUGUCUAGCUACUUGACUUUGUGUCUCCUGUCUAGCUACAUGACUUGGCGCCAUCUCCAGUCUAGCUACAUGACUUGGCGGUGUCUCCAGUCUAGCUACAUGACUUGGUGUCUCCAGUCUAGCUACAUGACUUGGUGGUGUCUCCUGUCUAGCUACAUGACUUGGUGGCGUCUCCAGUCUAGCUACAUUACUUGGCGGUGUCUCCAGUCUAGCUACAUGACUUGGCGGUGUCUCCUGUCUAGCUACAUGACUUGGCGGUGUCUCCUGUCUAGCUACAUGACUUGGCGGUGUCUCCUGUCUAGCUACAUGACUUGGCGGCGUCUCCAGUCUAGCUACAUGACUUGGCGGCGUCUCCAGUCUAGCUACAUGACUUGGCGGUGUCUCCAGUCUAGCUACAUGACUUGGUGUCUCCUGUCUAGCUACAUUACUUGGCGGUGUCUCCAGUCUAGCUACAUGACUUGGCGGCGUCUCCAGUCUAGCUACAUGACUUGGGAUCGGGUAAAGGUUGAGGGAGAUAAUAUAGUUGUUUUCGAUUUAAUGUAAUGGCCAUAAACUAAGCUAAAUAUGUAUGUGUAAUGUAUUAAUGAAUUCAUUAUAAAUCUCCACCUCAGAGCAACACAAAUCUUCCCAUGCAGCGUCAUACCAGAGAGGAUGGAGAUGAAAACCUACUGUGUAUAUAUACACCUACUGUGUAUAUAUACACCUACUGUGUGUAUAUAUACACCUACUGUGUGUAUAUAUACACCUACUGUGUAUAUAAACACCUACUGUGUAUAUAUAAACCUACUGUGUAU
Molecule: long non-coding RNA, 1151 nt
Filed under: Oncorhynchus mykiss (rainbow trout)
Lineage: Eukaryota; Metazoa; Chordata; Actinopteri; Salmoniformes; Salmonidae
Description: lncRNA (ENSOMYG00000049299.1)
Source: RNAcentral